Molecule: transfer RNA, 71 nt
Filed under: uncultured Gemmatimonadaceae bacterium
Lineage: Bacteria; Pseudomonadati; Gemmatimonadota; Gemmatimonadia; Gemmatimonadales; Gemmatimonadaceae
Description: tRNA-Gln-TTG
Rfam family: tRNA
About the family: Transfer RNA (tRNA) molecules are approximately 80 nucleotides in length.
Source: RNAcentral
UCCCCGGUCGUCCAACGGCAGGACGGUGGCCUUUGGAGCCACUAAUCUUGGUUCGAAUCCAAGCCGGGGAA